Molecule: transfer RNA, 71 nt
Filed under: Heterocephalus glaber (naked mole-rat)
Lineage: Eukaryota; Metazoa; Chordata; Mammalia; Rodentia; Bathyergidae
Rfam family: tRNA
About the family: Transfer RNA (tRNA) molecules are approximately 80 nucleotides in length.
Source: Rfam by way of RNAcentral
UGUAGUUUAGUCAGUGGUACCACACUUGCCUAGCAUGCAGGAGACCCUGGGUUUAAUCCCCAGUACUGCAA